This 253-nucleotide ribosomal RNA is filed under the name uncultured bacterium. Its description in RNAcentral is "partial 16S ribosomal RNA". It matches the Rfam family "Bacterial small subunit ribosomal RNA", at positions 524 to 776 of the family's 1533-position model. The record is from RNAcentral.
UACGGAGGGUGCGAGCGUUGUCCGGAAUCAUUGGGCGUAAAGGGCGCGUAGGUGGCUUCUCAAGCGUGCGGUGAAAGCCUGGGGCUCAACCCCGGGUCGGCCGUGCGAACUGGGGGGCUUGAGCACUGUAGAGGCAGGCGGAAUUCCGGGUGUAGCGGUGGAAUGCGUAGAGAUCCGGAAGAACACCGGUGGCGAAGGCGGUUGGCUGGGCCACAACUGACACUGAUGCGCGACAGCGUGGGGAGCAAACAGG